RNAcentral lists this small RNA (8231 nucleotides) under Rattus norvegicus (Norway rat). Its description in RNAcentral is "uncharacterized LOC108348767". The record is from RNAcentral. Lineage: Eukaryota; Metazoa; Chordata; Mammalia; Rodentia; Muridae.
AAGAACCAGGGAGCCCGUGAGCAAUUAUCCACAAAGCCCUUGUCUCAGCAGUAACCAGCUUGCCUGGUAUUGGACCUCCAACACAGAGGAGAAAAUGUCACCUGUCACUGUUCCAGGCACAAGACAACUAUACUUUAGAGAUCCGCAGUUGGCCAACGAGAUGGCUGAGUGCGUAAAUGUGUCGGCCACUCGAAUCGAAUCGGAGCUCGAUUGCCAGAACCCGUGAUGGAGGGGGAGCAGCCACUUGUGAAAGCUGUCCUCUGACCUCUGCAGGGUCACUGUGGCAUGAGUGUACCCACACGCACAGACAUACAACAUACACACAUAAGCAGCACGUGCUGUUGGCAUUCUUUUGGGGGAGAAUCUGUUUAAAAAUCCAUUUAAUUAUAAGGACUUGGCCUAUUUCAUGUGGAAUGUGAAUUUCUGCCUUUUCUUAGAGGAGGGUCUAGUCUUAGCAUGACUACCUCCCUUGAGAGAGAUGGUGCGCUCACUCAGACCCCAAGUGCCAGCUCAUUAUUUUAUGGCACCUGACUCUGUACCACAGAGAAAUUCUCCAGUCCUUCUGCCGUGAAGGCUUUGAAACUCUGGACUGUAUAAACGGAGAAAGCAAGUAUUUUCUGUUAAUGCUGCCUCCAGUCAGGCCUCCCUGGUAUGUCUACUGCCACCUUCCCCAACUCUCUUUACAAAUGUUUAUUGAGCAGUAGUUUGGUACCAGGUGCAGGAGCUGCAAAAAGUGAAUGGGACAUUGUCCCCAGACAUUCUGACAGCUUGCCCUGUGCCAGGCUCUGUGAGAUUCGUACACACGCACAUUUGGUUUUGUGAAGCCCGCCCCCCCCAGCCCCCAGUGCUACAGGGUCAUUUAUUACCUUCAUAGGCAUGGCUCUCACACCAGUACCCUGCUUAGGCUCACAGAGCCGGAAAACAGAGAAACCAGAAGUUGGGUCUCAGACUGGCAAGCUGAGCCAACUGUCAACUGUGCCCACCCUAAAGUGGAUCGGGUGCCCCAGGCUAAGGGAACACUUCCCCCCUCCCACAGAACCAGUGGCCAUGGGCAGGGGGAAGGCAGGGCAUUCUCGUUUGCUUGCUGAUUGGAUCAGCACUUCCUCUCCUGAACUGGUAGAAGACAGAACUGGUGGUCUUUUCAUACGUUGCAGAAAGAUUCAUCUUGCAUAGCUCGCCGACCUCAGAAUUCUCCAGUUUGCCUAUGUCACCAACAAGGCACCAAGAACCUGAGAGAUUGCUCAAGGUGUUAAGCCCGGUAUGUGACGUCGGAGACUGGAAAGAAGGCUUUCAGAUUCCAGUCUAGCAUUUUCUGGCUAUAUCACAGGCUAUUAAUUUCCAAAUUGAGUGGAAAUCUAUAACCACCCACUUCUCCUGGCCUGGUGUGUACUCUGGCAUUAAGGGGAUUGGUCUAAAAGAAGGGCUUGAGUGUUUUCUAACUUGGGUGGGGGGAGGCAGUGCUGAGGGGAGCCCAGAAGGAUCUGCUGAAGAAUUUAGCAACCAGCAAAAGUGUUUUCAGAAUGAAAGAAACUGUGUCUCUCAGUGCCCAUCUCCACACUUGGACUUUAACAAUGUUUCAAAAGAGUUUGUUGAUUUGAAACCUGCGUUUGAAAUCCAUCCGUAAGACAGGAUUAACCCAAUGGACGACUUUGGGUGUUGAUAUAAGAGGUUCCUUUCUCACUGGAGGUGCUUCCCUAAGCAAACCUCCAUGUCUAGAAAUCUGACUUCUUGAGGUAGGCCAAUAGGGAAGCCAUGGUUGGUCUGGACAGGGAGUGGAAAUCUGACUGAUUUAGUUAGUUAGUUUUUAAGUCUUUCUGUUGAAACUAUGUAACGGUGACAGAUCACUUUCACAAACUUGGUAAAGCUUUUAGAAUUAACUACAGUAAGGGACAGCUUGCCACACACAUAAGCAUCUGUACAGACAAAUCUGCACCUCUGGCAUUGUACGGUUAACAACUAUGUGCUAGGCAUACUAUAACUAAAUUAACUAAAGGACUCUCAGUACCUCUGGUCAGAGUGACAGCUCCGGGACCUGACUUUGUUGGAUGCAAUGAUUUGGUUGGCCACCAUCUUUGACACUUUUUCAUGUUGUUUUUCCCCCCAUCAGUAAGGAAAAAAGUUCUUUUUAGAGACGGCUCGAGAAAUCGUUUCCAGAACGAGGGUGAGGAUCAGAGUUCAGAUUCCCCAACACUCACAUAAGAAGCUGGGCAGGACAGUUCGUCUCUCAUCCCAUCACUCAGGAGGCUGAGAUGGGCUUCUCAGGUCACACCAUUAGCUAGACUAGUUGAAGAGUCUGGGUUCAGCGAGAGAACCUGACUCAAUAAAUAACACAGAGAGGGACUGAGAAAGACAUUUGAUGUCAAUGUCUGACUCUCUCCACGUGUGCACAGUGUACAUACACCCAUGUUUGUGUACAUUGUACACACAUACACAUGCAAAAAUAGAAGUAAAACAUUCAUUCUGAUCACACCCCUUUGCUCCAUGUGCCGUGGGUAUACAUAGGUCUUUUUGGUCAGCCUUGAGUAAUUCCUUGUGGAAGAUGUCACACUGCAAUACUGGGAACAUCUUCAGAAAGCUGAGCUUUCAGAGGAAGUACUGCCUAGUCCCCCACAGGGCUUUGUGGACCUCACGCCAGCUCACCACUAUGCUACUACUGCAUUGAAUAUAAGGGCCAUUGCAAAAUGUGCAGGCUCUGUGUGUCAACACACAGCCAGCUCAGUGAGCCUCCCUACCCACACGGGGUAUUCAUGUUUAAACAUGAUAAUAAAAAUCGUUCACUGAGAACCUAGCUUGUGCAUAAGGCUGUGUGGUAACAAGCACGAUGUGCUUAACCUCAGCCAAGACUACAGAUUAUGCUUUACUGACCCAGAUCUGGACAUUUUGCUAAAGCCUCCGCUCUCUCCUCCUCUGUUGCGUGGACAUGAUGUUUAGACUGGUUCAUAAUCUUCAGGACUCUAAGAAAGCUCCCUUUGAUGUAAAUAAAAAAGAAAUCGCAAACCUGCCGCUUGGAGCCUCCCCUCCCACAUCUCUCAGUCUGUCAAACAUGUGUGGUGGAACUGUGUUGUUGCCCUGACUCCGGGCCAGAAUAAACAGUCUGGAGAGGGUGCAAACCCAGCUGCAGCAGAGGACAGAGGCCUUGCCUUGAGACCUUGGAGGGGGCUAACCCAGUGCAAAAGAAGCAAACCUCAUGGCCUGCUGGAGCUGUGUUUCGAUGCUAGACAGACUCCGUGGCUCCCGUUCUCCAUUUGAGAGAAUGAAUACUUCACAGUGAGCAGUGGGCCUCCCUCUCACCAAUCUAGAUUUGUUCUAACCUGCUCCAACAGAGGUCACGUGCAAGAAAUAUGGGUAUGUUCUUCACACAAGUGAGGUCAAAUUUUACCUAGGGUGGAGGCAGGCAUCAUCAAAAGAGAGGUAUCCUUUUUCAGCUUCCCGGUUAGCCUGGGCAGUGAUUGACAAGAGGCCUUGUCACUUGAACAAGUAUUCUGUUUUUUUCAACAACAACAGCAACAGCAACAAAUCUGCAUUUUUAUUAUUCCUAGAUUAGAUCCAGAAAUUUCUAGCACACAAAAGGGAGGAAUACUUUCUCAGGUGAGGAGGAAUUGGAGCAGCGCUAGACAGCAGCGGGGAUGGGGAGUGAGCAACAGGGCAAGCACUCUAGGGCUGCCGUCCUGGCAACUCCUGCUGAUCCCUGCACCGGUGCUGGCUACCACGGAAGACCCUGUGAACACGAUGUGUGUCACAGAUAGAGUAAACUCAUUUCCUGAAUUAUGCAGGGCGGCCACACAGUUCAGACACAAGAAAUACAACUGUGGGGCAGCCGGGGCUGCUCUGCGGCUGCAAGCGCCAGGCCGGAAAUGAGUGUGUGUCACUCCUACUUCACAGCACCAGGCGGGGCUGACAGGAAACGCUUUUUGAUGUGCCACUCGCUUGAUUGAUGGCAUGUCAAGGUCAGCUUCUUGGAGGUAUUGCAAUUAAAGGAGGGGGUGUGCGCACUUCAUGGCUGUCUCUGAGUUUAAGGUUGGUAAAGUAAACAGAGGGGUCCCUCCACCUUCUUUUUCUUUUUGGUCUUCGUUUCAGAUCUAGAAGUAUAAAUAACUAAAAUUUAGGUUGAGAUCGCUUUGAAUUUCAAGGGAACCUUUGCUCUGGGCAGCCAAGUGCGAGUUACAUGGUUUUUCUUCAUUCCCCCAAACUGCUGGGCUCCUUUGAUGAGUGAAAAUGAAAGCUUUGUAACACAGUCUCUCUCCUUUGAUAGUUGGAAGCAGGAGCUGAUAGAAAGAGUCAGGAGGAAAAUGCACUUGGCUUACGUGAUGUGGGGUCAACAAAAGUCCACGGAGACCAGGAUGGAAUGGGUCACCAUGGAGAUCAGAGCACUGCCCAUUUUUGGGGAUGGAGGCUAACUGGUCAGUAGCCUGCCACGGGACAGGUAGAAAUGUCACACGGAUGGCUCUCAAGCCCAUAGAUUCUAAAGACGAGGGCAGCCUGCUGGAGUGACUCCUUCUUGUGCAACUCAACUACCCAUCUUGGAACCUGUUAAACCAGAUACGGCUGUGCAAGACCUGUUUCUCCUGUGACAGGAGGGCUUCACUGACCAUGAAAGGAAAAGCUUGCUGCUUGCCUGGUCCCAGCUUGUGGAAUCCAUAUCACAGCAUGAAGGCUGACCUUUGAACUCACCUUUCCCUGGGGAGCCUAAACCUCUAUCUUACUGCCUUCCACCCAGUUAAAACAUGGGCCCAGUCACUGCCCUGGCUCUGGUUUCUUAAGAUCCCGAGGGUCCUGAAUCUUUUAGAAAGAAUGAACAGAGUGGAGAAGAGUCAGGAGGACAUGUGCAGGUACUCACGUUCCAACUCCCCUCAGCACGCCAUCUUUCUCUGCUAUCUCUUGAUUUCCCAGCAUUGUUGUAGAAUUAGUUAUUUCAUCACAUAGAAACUUGGAAUAACGACAUACUCUCUAGAGGGUACGGUGGUGGUGGCGGUUAACGUCUAUCUAAAGAAAAGUUCCUGGCUUUUAUUUUGGUCGCUUAGUUUUGAAGGGAUUUUGAAAAUAUACUUUAUGGAAAGAUACCAGUGAGGUCUAACUUCACUCCUGAAUCGCACUGGUGUUUCCUUCUCAGCAAGGAGCCUCAUCAGUCACUGGGAGCAGUAAAUAGGCAGACGUCAUUCCAGCAUUCCUGCAGGAUUGGGCUAUGGAAUGCAAGCGCAAGUCGGACUGUCCACACCUACCAGGCCUAAUAAAUCAGCGCCCUCUGGAUGUCACAGCAAGGAGACUUUAUUGGGUGCCACCUGUAAUCACUCAAUUAAAAACAAAUAAAGGAUGCAUGCUUACAUCUCGGCCCCUCGCACUGAAAACAGCUGCGCUGUUCACAUCUGGCUUGGCUACACUAUGAUCCUGGUAUUUUAAUUGUAGAAGGUGAGCCUGUUUGCUGCCAUAGAAUUAAGGCAUUUUUGUCCUCCAAUUAAGGGCAGCUAUGCACUAAUGGAAAAGGUCUACGUGCUCCCUCAUAUAAAGAGACCAUCCAAUGUGUCUGCGCAGUUGCCCCAAAUGGUCAAGCUUUUGGAUUUUAUGCUUGGUCCUUACGGUUGCCGUUCACAGCAAGAUAAUGUUAAUAUUACUAGAGAUUAGAGACACACAGAACUUUAGUAUUUCAGGGCUUGAAACUUACAUACAUUUUAUAUACUAUAAACUAUAUACUAAGCAGGAAGUUCUGUGUGUAUACUUGCUUGUGUGUGUGUGCUGAUGCACACGCAUCUCACAGAGGGUUUUUAAAGGAUCACUGACAAGAACUUGGCAGUCACAUGGGUGGAAUGGAAAGAAAAGCUGUGGAAAGCAAGGUUAGGAACCUCUAGAGAGCGAGUCUGGCAACAUGACAAACCUCAAGUCGAACCCAGGAUGGUCUCUGAAUGCCUGAGAUCUUCGCUGGUCUUCUGGUCAAUACUGCCUACCAUGCAGGGACUUAGAGGGGUUAGGGAACGGUCAGAAAAGUAGGUGCUUUAGCAGUGUUAAAAUGACCCAAAGCCUUCUCCUCUUGCCCUCAUGCCACUGUCACUUGAUGACUCAAUCAUUGCUCCUGAAGCCGAGACACUUUCCCCACCUUUAACAUUCUAUGUGCUUAUGAUAAUAAUAGGUGGAAAGGUUUUUAAGAAUCAUUGGAAACCUCAUCACACAAAUAUAAGACGAACAGUGUAAGCAUUUUGAGGUAUUUCAACUUUAUCACCGUCUUGUGCCUACACAGUCUCUCAAAUAUAAUGGCACCGUCCUGUGAGUACCAAGUACUGUCCUUCCUUCAUGCCACACGGUACACAUCACAUACCCACUCGUGUCAUUACAUGCUUCUGAAAGCAUGCUCUACUGGUUUAUGUGUGUGACGUCCUUCACACUGGAGCAUCACAACUUAUUUGUUUAUUUAUUUGUGUGUGUGUGUGUACGUGUGCGUGUGCAUGCAGCUGGAGUUAUGGGUUCUCUGAGUGGGCUCUGAGAAUGCAAUUAAAAUGCUUAAGAAGAGCAGGAUGUAUUCUUAACUACUGAGCCAUUUCUCUGGCUCCCAACGUCUUAUUGUUAGAUCGUUAGAUCUGGUUUUGCCCUGCAACUGAAAACUAUAAUAAGAACAUUACAUUAGCUUCUAUGAAACUGGCAUCCAUCUAUGUAUGUAUGUAUGUAUGUAUGUAUGUAUCUAUCUAUCUAUCUAUCUACCUACCUACCUACCUAUCUUAUUUGAAUGGCUUAUGACAUACAGGUAUUCUUUCAUCAAGAAGUUGAGGAAAUGAAGAUAUUAAAGAUUUGUGCUAUAAACAUAUCACAAGAACACAAUCUGAUAAGAUUUCACAGCUCUUAUCAUCAUCAACCACCAGGGCCACAGUCAAGAUCCAGAAUUUGUCCAUCAGUUGACCAGCUAUGGACAUUUUGAAGGCUCAUGUCAUACAACAUUAAUUUACAUUAAAUUACUUUUAGCCAGGAAUGCUAUCUCAUGCCUGUAAUUCUAGCACUUGGGAGGUGGAGACAGGAGGACCAGGAAUUCAACACUUCUUUGGCUACAUACUGAGUCUGAGGCCAGCUGGAACUGCAUAAGAGCCCAUCUCAAAAACUCCAAACUAACAAUGAGAGCAAUAAGUUAUUAAUUAAGCAGCAUAUUAAUAACAUAUCCAUACUCUUUCCCCCCCCCCAGGUUAUAUAGUGGGCUACUAAGGUGGCAUUUCCUUGCCCUCUUCCCUUCAGGGGCUUCUGUACUGCUUAACAGUUGCUCAUAUAAUAAUAAUAAUAAUAAUAAUAAUCGAAAAUGUACUCAUUCUUAAUAUGAAUAUCUGCUAUGACUUGUUCUCUAAACAGCCUGUGCUAAUAGGAAAAGGUAGAAACUUUAAGUAGGAAAGUGUAUAGCAGUUCUGAAUCUGUGGGUCACAGCCCCUUCCAGGGUGGCAUAUCAGCUAUCCUGCGUACCAGAUAUUUAAUAAUUAUUCGAAACAGUAGUAAAAUUACACUUAUGAAGCAGCAAGAAUAAUGACUUUAUGGCUGGGGGUCAUCACGCCAUGAAGAACUAUAUCAAAGGGCUGCAGCAUCAGGAAGGCUGAGAGCCACUGGCUUGGAGGGAGGUCUUCGUGGGUGUUCAGGAGACCUUGGGAGUCUGUUCUUCUCUUUUGUUUCCUUGCUACGAGGUGACCUACUUUGACCUGCAGGUGCUCUCGCCAUGAUGUGCUGACACUUCCAAUCUGAUAUCUGAUCACGGGCUAAAUAAAGCCUUGAGCCCAAACAAACCUUUCUACUUGUCAGUAGUUGACCAUCUCAGGUAACUUUAAUAGUAAAAAAGAAGCUAACUCAAGAAUAUUAUUACUGAGGUUUGAUUUAUUUUUCAGUCUCUUAUUGAGUACUUGAAUAACUCACAAGAUCAUGUAUUGAUAAUUACAAUAUGAACACAGUGCCAUAUAUAACUGCUACUUACACAUAUUUAAACAUGCUUAAAGUUUGAGCUAAAUAAAUCUGUGAUGGCUCUCUGUGAUGGCUUGAUUAGGUUUGGCCCCAUUGACUCACUUGUUUGAAUGCCUGGCCCUUGGGGAAUGGCACUAUUAGGAGGUGUGGCCUUAUUGAAGGAAGUGUGUCACUGUGGGCGUGGGCUGUGAAGUCUCUAUGCUCAUGCUCCACCCAGUGUGUAAUUCCAGUCCCCUCCUGCAGAAGACAAUCUUCUCCUGGCUGCCUUUGGAUCAAGAUGUAGAGCUCUCAGCUCCUCCAGCACCAUGUCUGCCUGC